Molecule: ribosomal RNA, 429 nt
Filed under: Chloroflexota bacterium
Lineage: Bacteria; Bacillati; Chloroflexota
Description: Chloroflexi bacterium partial 16S ribosomal RNA
Rfam family: Bacterial small subunit ribosomal RNA
Source: RNAcentral
UGGGGAAUAUUGCACAAUGGGCGCAAGCCUGAUGCAGCCAUGCCGCGUGUGUGAAGAAGGCCUUCGGGUUGUAAAGCACUUUCAGCGGGGAGGAAGGCGAUAAGGUUAAUAACCUUGUCGAUUGACGUUACCCGCAGAAGAAGCACCGGCUAACUCCGUGCCAGCAGCCGCGGUAAUACGGAGGGUGCAAGCGUUAAUCGGAAUUACUGGGCGUAAAGCGCACGCAGGCGGUCUGUCAAGUCGGAUGUGAAAUCCCCGGGCUCAACCUGGGAACUGCAUUCGAAACUGGCAGGCUAGAGUCUUGGAGAGGGGGGUAGAAUUCCAGGUGUAGCGGUGAAAUGCGUAGAGAUCUGGAGGAAUACCGGUGGCGAAGGCGGCCCCCUGGACAAAGACUGACGCUCAGGUGCGAAAGCGUGGGGAGCAAACAGG